RNAcentral lists this long non-coding RNA (329 nucleotides) under Vigna radiata. RNAcentral describes it as "long non-coding RNA (VRAD_LNC008451)". Lineage: Eukaryota; Viridiplantae; Streptophyta; Magnoliopsida; Fabales; Fabaceae. The record is from RNAcentral.
GAACCUCCUCGAAGGUGUGCGAAACAGCUCUGGACGUUUCUCUAUGCCAAAAGAUUGAGUUUUGAUUCGCACUGGGUCUAUUUAUAGACCAAAAAGAUAACAGAAAGAUUACAGAAUCUGAGCUAAUAAAAAUAGACAACCGCUCAGGCGCCUAAGUAAAUCGCUCAACAGUUUCCCCUUUAGCCGUUGGACCGCUCAGCGGUCAGUUUUGCCGCUGAGCGGUUUGCCCCUAAUCGUCCUGGACGCUCAGCGGUCCAUUUUGUCGCUUAGCGGUCCCUUUGACUCUCUUUUCAUCCUUUUUCUUCAUCUUUCACGAGUAUAAGUCCACC